This 74-nucleotide transfer RNA is filed under the name Acetobacter cerevisiae. RNAcentral describes it as "tRNA-Met". It matches the Rfam family "tRNA". Rfam says of the family: Transfer RNA (tRNA) molecules are approximately 80 nucleotides in length. Their secondary structure includes four short double-helical elements and three loops (D, anti-codon, and T loops). The record is from RNAcentral. Lineage: Bacteria; Pseudomonadati; Pseudomonadota; Alphaproteobacteria; Acetobacterales; Acetobacteraceae.
GGGGUGGAGCAGCCCGGUAGCUCGUCAGGCUCAUAACCUGAAGGUCAUAGGUUCAAAUCCUAUCCCCGCAACCA